Molecule: ribosomal RNA, 308 nt
Filed under: uncultured bacterium
Lineage: Bacteria
Description: partial 16S ribosomal RNA
Rfam family: Bacterial small subunit ribosomal RNA
Source: RNAcentral
GAGACAGCAGUAGCCGCGGGAAAACGUAGGUGGCAAGCGUUGCCCGGAAUUAUUGGGCGUAAAGCGCGCGCAGGCGGAUAGGUCAGUCUGUCUUAAAAGUUCGGGGCUUAACCCCGUGAUGGGAUGGAAACUGCCGAUCUAGAGUAUCGGAGAGGAAAGUGGAAUUCCUAGUGUAGCGGUGAAAUGCGUAGAUAUUAGGAAGAGCACCAGUGGCGAAGGCGGCUCACUGGUCCAUUACUGACGCUGAGGUGCGAAAGCGUGGGGAGCAAACAGGAUUAGAGACCCCUGUAGUCCCUGUCUCUUAUACA